Molecule: non-coding RNA, 73 nt
Organism: Acidobacteria bacterium 13_1_20CM_2_60_10
Lineage: Bacteria; Pseudomonadati; Acidobacteriota
Source: Rfam
GGGCGUGUAGCUCAGUUGGGAGAGCACCUGCUUUGCAAGCAGGGGGUCGCCGGUUCGAGCCCGGCCACGUCCA